Molecule: ribosomal RNA, 375 nt
Filed under: uncultured bacterium
Lineage: Bacteria
Description: bacterial SSU rRNA
Rfam family: Bacterial small subunit ribosomal RNA
Source: RNAcentral
AUACGAAGGGGGCUAGCGUUGCUCGGAAUUACUGGGCGUAAAGGGCGCGUAGGCGGAUGUUUAAGUCAGAGGUAAAAGCCCAGGGCUCAACCUUGGAACUGCCUUUGAUACUGGACAUCUUGAGUACGGGAGAGGUGUGUGGAACUCCGAGUGUAGAGGUGAAAUUCGUAGAUAUUCGGAAGAACACCAGUGGCGAAGGCGACACACUGGCCCGUUACUGACGCUGAGGCGCGAAAGCGUGGGGAGCAAACAGGAUUAGAUACCCUGGUAGUCCACGCCGUAAACGAUGAGUGCUAGUUGUCGGCAUGCAUGCAUGUCGGUGACGCAGCUAACGCAUUAAGCACUCCGCCUGGGGAGUACGGUCGCAAGAUUAAA